This is a non-coding RNA of Ictidomys tridecemlineatus (thirteen-lined ground squirrel), 12641 nucleotides long. NCBI's taxonomy places the organism in Eukaryota, Metazoa, Chordata, Mammalia, Rodentia, Sciuridae. The record is from RefSeq and is a predicted model, not a curated record.
CGGCAGGACGCUCCGCCCCCACCGCGCUGCAGCCAGGGUUCUGGGGUGACUCUGGGCGUUUUUGCGCAUUGCACAGCGGGACAGCACCAGUGGCUUGGUCCUGUUUCUCGCCGGCCCUCCCGGAUGGGGCAGCCGGGCCAACAUCCAGAGCUCACUCAGCUUACAGGGGAUGGACUGGAGGCUGUCCAAGGGUCCCGUCUGCGCUUAGGUGGCCGCAAAGAAGGGACCAGCCUGCUCUUCUGGAUGUCGCACACCUGGCAAGCCUCCCAGAAGGAUCCCAGGCUGAAAUUGGAAAGCCAAAAGCAUUAUGGGGGCAACCUCUCAGCCAGAGCCCAGUGCCCUGGCCCCCCCACUCACACUUUGACCAGCCGAGGGGUGAACAGCUUUAGCGGGACUGGCUUGCUCUUCUCACACAGCAGUGGCCGGUAGAGCUGCUUUUGGCUUUCCACCUCUGCCAGUGUGCUUUGAAACAGCUCCUGAAAAAACAUGAAGCAGCUGUCCUGGGGCUACCUGUCUGAAGUUCGCCCUCACAGAGUCUAUGGGGUCCACAGCCAAGGCAACAUGGAGACAGCCCAGCGGCCUCAGCAGCCAGCCUGACCCCAGUAGAGAAAUGUGCUAUCGACACACUUUCCAUGGAAGUGCAAGGAGCACCACCUCUACUGAGAUGGUCUUGGUGCCUGGAGGAAGGUGCUAUGGGGCAGCUGGUGGAGCCACACAAGGGGACAGGUGAGGCUGCUGGGCCUUAUCUUCACCAGCACCACGGCUAGGACGCUUCAACUGAGUGCUGAGAGGCCACUGUGGGCUUCUGAGGAAUCUCCUACAGGCAGCUCGCUGAUGCUGGUCCUACACAGGUAUGUUCUGGAGCCGGGGCUGCUUGGCUUCCUGUGCCCAUAGCAUGGCCAUUUCUUAGCCCAACCGGAUGUAACCUGAGUGCCUAGAAACCUACAUAUCCCAUCACGCACUCUUGGCUAGCCCAAAUUCUGUAAGACCAGGAGAUAAAAUUCUCUGUCAUUUAAACAUAAACACAGCCAUGUCCACAGUAAGUGGGUGCAGGUACAAACAUCUCGUCCUCAUCUGCAUUUGACAAGUUGUCAUGACUUUGAGGAUGGUGACAUGGUUUGCUCUCGGCUCUCGAGACUGGGCCAGGAUUAGGACAGCCAAGCCACUGUCCUAGAGGGACAGAGAUGAUGGGGCAAGCACUCAGGGGUGGUCACACUGAGGGCAAGAGGCCCAGGAAGCACAGUGGUGAUGUGGGGAGGCCUGGUGGACAGCCACACAGUUCUAAGGAGAGUUCCAGGCAAAGACCAGAUAGGAGGAUCCCAGGGCUUCUGAGGCUGAGCCUGUGAGGUAGGAGCACACGAGAGCACAGGCAGACUGCCAGGCUAGGAGGCACCACACUGCAGCGCCCAAUGCCGUGGUCAGCACUUGCCUGUUUUUGUUUGUUUAAUAUUUUUUAGCUGUACUUGGACAUAAUACCUUUAUUUUAUUUAUUUGUAUGUGGUGCUGGGGAUCGAACCCAGGGCCUCACCUGUGCUACCACUGAGCCCCAGCCCUAGCCCUUGCCUCUGUUCUUAAUGAAAAGGGAAUGCAGUGGAGGGCCAGGGCUCAGAGUGUGACUGGCACCUCCUCCUCCAGUGACCCCCUGGGCCAGUGCAGAAGAGCCUGUGCUGUGGGCAGCAGCAGGUGGGGCGCAGGGCAUGGAUGCACUGGAGGGUCUGUGGUGACGAGGCCCAAGUCCAUGGAGCCAGCCCUCAGGGCUGUGCAGAACAGAGGGACCACCCCAAGAACCCAUUGGGUAGCUGCAGAGUUGAGGUGCUCCUUGUGCUGCAGACCCAGCUGCAGGCCCCACCUGGGCUCAGUGGUCUUUCAGUGCAGCUCCCUGCAGGUUCCGCCCAGUAACGGCAUGGAUCCAGACUUUGCUUGAAUCCAGCCCAGUGGUGCUCAGAGACCAGGGACAGUACGAUAUCAUUUCCCAUUCCUGUUUGAUUUUGUAAAGAUGAAGUCCUUAGCUUAAAUAGCAACUUCAAGGACAAUUAUGCCCCAUUGACCCACUGCUGGCUCAUCAACACCUCAAGGAUCAGGAAAUCGUACCUGGAGCUCGUGGGGGUGGCUGCAACGCGUCAGGUGCUCUGUCAGGAGGGCCCGGAAGGGCCUGAUGAUGGCAUGGAAGGACGGCAGUGUGCCAUACAUGAGGACGCAGUGCUUUAGCAGGGCCAGACACACAGCCAGGCAGGACAGUCUGUAGGAACAGGAGACAAAGGCAGGACAUCCAUUUGUUCCAUGACAGCCAGUGACUGGGAAACCAGUACCCUGGGUGAGAAGGUCACCCCAUCUGUGCUACCGAGAAGUCAUGUGAGGGCCCUCAGCUCACAUGUUCCUGGGGGCACCCAGGAACAGCUGUCUCCUUCCCACGCAGGAAGGAGGGCUGUGGGGGAGACACUGCCAGCUGGAAAGGACGGCUCCCUUCACUUCCCAGGUUAACACUGAAACUGAGCAGGUAUGACUCGAAAAAAAUCCACAUUUUUAGGAAACUUUUUAGACAUCAACCCAAAGGGCAUGAGAAAUACACCAGCUAAAAACACACUUUCAGGUGGUGAGUGAAAAGUGCCCAUGUCUUUCACCCUCCUGGGGUGCUGUCUGAUAUACCUGGCGUGGGUGGCCUCAGCUGCAGUCGGGGAGCUCGGCCCACUUGCCCAGCGCAGGGGGAGGCUUCCCCUCUGCCAGGUGGCCACAUCUUCUGCUUCAGAGACCAAGAGCAAUUCGGAAUUCUUCCCAAGUGCUCUGAAAGGAUGCACCAGAGUAGAACCUGAAUUCCAAGCAUGACAGAGAUGAUGGGAUGUUACUGACUACAGGUUGAGCCUGUAGCACCUCUGCCCCCAGGCUCCCUGGGUGGUGCCAAACCUGUAGUCAACUCAAGGAGGCAGACAGCAUGGGUACAAUGCUGCCCUGGCAGAAGCUUUGGCAGGGGGUGGUCAGAGACAUACCUGAACCCUGUCUUGGAGGCUUGCUGGCAAUAGACUUCCUGUGGACCUACUAUGUGUGGUAUCAGAGGCUCUAGGCCUUGACCAAAGCCUUGGGAGACACAAUAAAACCCACAGAAAGAAACGAACUAAGUAGGAAAAGGAAGAGUGAAAGAGAUGGCCAGGAGGAGAGGACAAGGUCAGGCAGUUUUCAAGUCUGGAGGAGGGAUGUCAGCAGAGACCCAGAGGGUGUGCAGCAGUUAACCUGCCCACCACCUGGAAACACAGAUGCUGGGGGCGGGGGCAGACUGCUGCGGAGACCUGAGUAGGGCUGAGCAGAGGCAGCUGGGCAGAUGGUUGGACUGCUGUCAAUUGCCCCAGGCCAGGCCAGCUGCGCUUUCCGCCACCAUUGCACGCUUCCCAAUCCCACUGCAUGGCCCCGGGGUAGUUCCUGUAGCUCUUUCCAGCAGAAGUGCUGUCGUCUACCCUGCAUUCCCCUUUUGGGGAUCACGUGGAUGGCUGUGCCUCUUUGCCAACACUGAGCAGGACACACAUGUGCCAGCAAUGGCCACCAGUGCCACCAGGGACCAAGGAAGCCACAUGCAGGAAAGUCCUGUCAUGGAAGAAAAGCUGAGGGGCAGGCAGUAGGAAUGGAGUCCUGAUUGAGGAACUGCCUAGAUACCGCUUCAAAAGAGCUCCUACCCAGGCCCUGCACAGGCAGCUCUGCUCUCUGCUAGCCUCUGGGCAUGAAGCAAGUGAGAUGAGGCCAGAGCCCUAAGUCUGGAAAAGAUCCAGAUGGGACAGAGACCAAGCACCCAUCACAGUUCCAGGGAGGAAGCUGAGUGAGAAGUUUGCAGAAGGAAGAGUCUGCGUGAGGAAGCCCUGACCAGUAAAGGGCACUGAGCCAGGACCAGGUUCAGAAGAUCAGCCAGUGAUCACAACCCUGCUUCACUACUGCGGGCUAAGUGACCUAACAUAGGACAAAAGAAGAGCAGGGUGCGGGGAGGCUAAGGCAGGAGGACUAGUUUUGAGCUCAAGAGAUCAGGGCCAGCCUGGGCAAUAUCCUGACACAAAAACCAAACCAAACCACCAUGCACCAGGCCCCGGGCUCCCUCCCAUGUACAACUAACCUCCCAAAUUAAAUUAAGACCGAUAUUCUGUUUUGUGUGUGUGUGUGGAGCUGGGAGUGCACCCAGGCCCUUGCAUGCUGGGCAAGCACUCUACCACGGGGCCACAUUCCCAGCACCGUUUCUUUUCACAAUAUUAUUUCAAUGCCUAAGAGAGAAGUGUGUCAAGAUUUUUAUGUAUAUUUCUUGACACUGAGCCCUGGCUGCAUGGUGUCCUCUUCAUAGUCUCUGCUCAGACUUGCACGUGUGACCUCAGGCCUGGAAAUCACGUUCCCUCAGCAGCAAGCUGAGUGUAGGUGGGUGUGGGUGUGGGUGUGUGCACAUGCACACUCAGAGGACAACAUGCUGCUCUGGGUGACAAGACUGCAGCAGUGUUUGUUUUUGUCUCUGGGAAAUUACUCUUUACAAUACAUGUCAAGGAAGUUCCUACACACCAACUCACCUUGGCUUUGUGUGUUUGGAGUCGCUAUGUAGAGAAUCCCAAGAAGAAAAUUAAUAACCUCAGGUACGAAUCUGUGAGACAGAGCCACAAACUCCAGAAACAAGCAGCACACAAAGAGGCCUUUCACCACGUCUUGAAGCGAGAGCACAGGGCACUGGAAAGGAAGCCACAGGGGAGCUGGUGCUCUGGACUCAUGUUCUGGGAACUGUGUGAGGCAGACACCUGGAUGCCCAGGGGAGCUGUGCUCUAAGCCUCACCCAGAGCAAGUCCUGCAUCCCGACAAUGACCCCUGCAGAUGACACAGCCUUACCCACGUGUAAGGCAGGAUCACUGCAGUCUGUGUGGGCCAACUGUAUGCCUCACAAAGGGAACUAAUUUGAAAUCCAUACCCCCAAAGGGAACAAAAGCCCCUAUCAGAUUGAUUUGCCAGCUCCUUCCUGGGGACACAUCCUCCACUAACCAUGAACCUCUACACCAGACUCCCAUACCCCGCCCAUCCAGGGAAACGCUCAAGGGUGCUGCGCACCUUGUCUGCCAGACUCUGACCUCUUACUUCUCACAGGUCCUAAAGACAAGUGGGCUUUGGCCUGAUCUCACGGUCAGUAUCCCUGAACCUCAGCCAUGCUCCUUUCAACAUGGCCCUGAGAUGUGCUGGGAAGAGGAGACACACCUUCGUGAGCAGCUGGCUCAGGCACACGAGGGCAGGGGUCACAACUGGGUGCCGGAAGUCAGAGGUCGGAAACAACAUCCCAGCAAUCUUCAAAUAAAUGAGCUGGAGAGAGAGAUUGCCACAGAUUACAAAAGGAAAUGAAGCUCAACUAAAGCACACUCUUGCAAGGGGCCCAGGAGCAGAGCUGGUUUAAAGUCCUGGUGAAACAGCCGGCAUCAGUGGGCGCCAUGCUCCCCCUCACCUAGGUCUUCUGAAAACAUCACCCAGAGAAAGCACGUGAACUGCUGAGCAUGACAAGGUUCUUUAGAACAGGCAGUUACUUUCAGUAGGUCCAAUCCCAGAGCAGCAGCUUCCACAAGGAGCCUGCCACCAGCAGCAGAUGGGGGUACUCAGGGGCAGCUGCCAGGGACCCACGUUAGAGCUGGAGGAGUCUGAAGUGGCCUUCAUACAGCAGCAGGGAACCUUCCACCCACACUGGUGAAGAUGCCUUCUCCCUGGCCCAAGGCACCGCUUCAUUGGUUUGUUUUCAUUACAAAAACAUACAACAGUUCUGGGUGACAUGCAACCUCUAAAACCAGCACUUCCGGAAAGCUGGCGAGGCUCCAUUUCCCAUCUCGGGUGGUUGCAAGGGCAACGAGCCCAGCAGCAGCACAUCAGAGGGGCCGCAUCACCUCUGCAAGGUGGCUCAGGUCAAGGCUCCAGGAAACAGGACAGCACUGCCCAGCCCACUGUAGCCUCAGGCCAGGGCCUGUCACAGGUGUGGUGAGGAUUCCACUGGUUAGGAAGGGAAGCUCUCUCAUGCCGAAACCUUGAUAUCUCCACCAGUUACUGUAACGUGAAAGCUAGAGUAAAAGGCCACAUCCCUGAGGAAGAGGGAGACCUGCCGUCUCCAGGACAGGAAGCUGCCUCAACUGAAUUUCCCCAGGGCCACGUCAACACUCAUCCAUGUAGCUGUUCUCUUUAAUGAUGGCAGCCAGUUAUGCUCGCAGGACACCUAUGUGUAAGUCAGAUGUGGGGGGCGACAGGUGACACUGACGGAGAAGGGUGGCUGGCAGAUUAACUGCCCUGUCUGGACUCUGCAGCAUCUCAAGAAUGCCCUGCUUGACCAGGGGCACCAAGAAAUCCCCCAAAGUACCCACAACUGUGUGGCUCUGACCCAUGUGAAUUUAAAAAUAGCAGACACAUGCCAGCAGGCUCCAUUUCCUCCUUUCUGGUGGUGACAGGGACUUACUACAGAGCUGUAAGAGGGUGUCCCUACCUUAAUUUGGGGGUUCUAAGGAAAAUGAGGCCCAGGGAGAGGUCUGAAGGGAGCUCUUGCCAGUGUCCCGCAUCCUGCCCCAGACAAUUUGACCCAGGGUGCUAGCCACUGAGCCACAUGCCCUUUCCUAUUUCAUUUGGAAACAGGGUAUCACUGUUUCCUAAGCUCCUUGAACCCGAGACCUUCUUGCCUCCACCUCGGGAGCUGCUAAGAUUGAGAGUGUCUGCCACUGCAACUCCGCAUUUCUUCUUCAAAGAUACUAAGUGUCACAUAAGGCUGUUACAAAUAGUCAGGGGUCUCUAGGAAAACACAAUGCUUCUGUGAGUCUUAAAGCAUCUUUGCCAUUAAGACCAGACACAGCCAGGCACAGUAGCAUACAACCUGUAAUCCCAAUGAAUUAGGAGGCUGAGGCAAGAGGCUCACAUGUCUGAAGCCAGCCUCAGCAACUUAGACCCUGUUUCAAGAUAAAAAUCUAAAAAGGCUGGGGAUGUAGUUCAACGGGAAAGUUCCUGAUUUCAAUCCCUAGUACCCACCCCACCAAAAAAAAAAAAAAAAAAAAGUCAGAUAUAGCCCUGUCCAUAUGGAAUCAAACCAGAAUCUCUAUCAGCAACUUCAGUUAACUGUCCUCUCAGGUCUGUUGCAGUCCUCUCCCCACCAGUCUGGAAGCUCUAGGGCACAACCAGCCUCUCAAUGCAAAGACACAUGCACCCUCCCGGUCCUUGAUACCACACUGAACCCGAUUCUCAUGGCUCAGGACCAUGCCCACAGACCCCGCAUCGCUUACCACAUCCAACCCUGGGAACACUGCACGGCCCUUGGUCUCAAUCAUUUCUUCCAUCUCAUGCAUGGCAUCUCGAAGAACAAAUUUUAUAGAGUUGCUUGCAGACUCAGGAAACAUCUGGCAAAGAUUAUAUAACUGCCUAUGAAGCAGAAAUUUAAGUCAGGAGAGGACUCUGGACAAUAAAACACAGAAAACUCUUGGAAACUCGUUCUGUGCAGUCACCUGCUAAUUGUUCAAGUCAGAAAGGGAAGCCUCUGGAUGAACCCUUUGAACUCGCUGGCAACCCUCACACGCCAAGGGCCUGACCUCCAUGCAAUGCCCCAGUCUGAGUGACUCACUCUUUUCCUACUGCUGUCUGCUGAGCUCUCUGAUGACCCAGGUAAGUUUUCUUUUUCGGGGGCGGGGAGAGGUACUGGAGAUUGAACUCAGGGCCCAGUGCAUGCUAGACAAAUGCUCUACCACUGAUCCACAUCCGAAGCACUUUAUAUUUUGAAACAGGGCCUCACUAAAAUUACUGAGGCUGAUCUCAAUUUGCAACCCUCUUGCCUCAGUCUCCAAGUAGUUGGAAUUACAGGCAUGUGCCACCACUCCUGGCUCCAAAUAAUUUCUAAUGGUGUUUUAUGAUAAUCACUGUACUUAAAACUUGCUAUUUCCUAACAAUCUGGUGAUGACCUUUGAGUGGAAACAUUACUAUUGGGCACAUUCUAUGUGCCAGCUAUGGUACUUUACACAUUAGCUCAUUUAUUCCUUGCAAAUGCUUUGUUAAGACCAUCCUUCUGUGUGUGCCAGCAGUACUGGAAGCCAGAGGCCACCGUGAGCGCCACAAGCUUCUAGUGGAAUAAGGGUCAGAGCCCACCCAUACCAUCCCUUUGUAGGACACAAGAGUGCUUUCCUAGCAGGAGAUCACCAGCUCAAGUAGAGCCAGUCUUGUCAGGAUCCACAGAGGUGGUGAUGGACCUGGCCCACAGGGCUCAAGUUCCAGUAGUGACAAUGGGAUUCUCUACCAUGCAUUCCAAAUACUUCCCAAUCCCCCAGAGCUCCAUUGGGAAACUAGGUACUCCUACUAUAAGUGAGUCUGAGGGAUUCAUUUUUUAAAAAACAAGGUCCCAUCUCUGUGGGGCUGGGAGCAGCAUGAGCCAGAGUGAGAAGGUGUCACUGUUACUGCCAUGGGUUUGUUUUGUGAGUCCUGUUCACAAGCUCUGGGGACAGUACACCUACCUGCUAUGGUCACGUCACCAGACUGCCUUACUGAUUUCAAAAUGUGUAUUUAUGACCUAACUGGGAGAAACAUUGCCAGUUCAGCCUCAUAUCCUUAGGAACAUAAACAGUUUUUACUUACACCACCAACUUAUCAAUUACUUUGAGGUCUGGUGGAUCAUUUGUAGCCAAAUCUCCAAUGUAUUCCAAAAGGAAGCCGAACAGUUUCUGUAGGAACAUGAAUUAGGAAGAGAGCUUAGUGCUAAGCACCCAAGAUCGGAAUCUCAGGCAUGUAACUUCUGUUUUCUAGUGUGGCAAAGGAGGUGGGUCAAGGGACCCUGCCACAGACAUGGGACCUGUGCAAAAUGCAGAGGCUCAGCUGGAGCACAGGGACACUGGGAGGUGUCCAAGGACCAGGUGGCACUUGCAGACAGAGACACUGGUCACCAAAACUAACAGGGUGACACGUAUCACCUAUGGAGCAAGGGGGAGGGACAUGUGCUGUUGUCUCAGUAGGCAGAGCCAUGGGAUUGCUGUGAGCCAUUUGCUCUCAAGUGAAAGGAAGGGCCUGUGCCAGGUUUAAGGGAGGUGCCCAGUGCCCAGGGGUGAUUCUGUUGUGAGGCCUGCUCACAAGCUCUGGGGGACAGUCAUGUGCUCCCCAGCAGGAGGCACCCUUCAUAUGUGUAACCUCAGCAAUCCUGAGGCUCCGACUGGGGGCCUGAUCCUGCUCCUGAUACUCAGCACCUCAUCAUUCCAACGUACUUCUAAUUUCUCCUUGUUCCCCACUGCAAGACUUGGAUGGUUGCAUUUCUGAAUUCGUUCCACCACCAAAAGCUGCUCUUCCAUCGAUCUUCCUGAUAAUGCAGAUCUCAGCUCCUCAUAGGACUCAGGAGCUACCGAACCCAAACAUACUUACAUUUAAAAUGAGCAUGGCUCCCCCUGUGCUGACACAGGGGGACAAUGGCCACAACAAGCAAGGCUCCCUGCUUUAACAGAAGAGGUUAAGACACAUCAUACACGUGCUUUUGUUCACAAACACAUCCAACGUAGCGGACACCUAGCUGAACUGGGCUAUCUAGGGUUGACCAUGCACCCGAGGACAGCCCCAGUGCAUUUUUGGCCCACCACCCUUCCCUGAGUAGGACUUUGAUUCAGUAUCCACAACCCAGGGAUCACUCAGUGUCAGUGUUAGUUUUACUGCCUCAAUGCCCCAGAUGAGCUGGAAGGAGACACAAGAGCUAAGCAAUGCCACCACCCGAGACUCUCACCCAUCAAGGUCACGUCCCUGGAGGUGAGCCUCACUGCUAGCUAUCCUAUGGAAAGAACCUCCAGUCACAGGAUAACUCAGGGCUAUUUACUUGAACUAGUUUUAGUGAACGUCAGACAAACCCCUGAAAGUUUAGGUAGAGGGUUAUGUGGCUAAACAAGUGCUCAGGCCUGAACACAAGCCUCUGGGAUCCACAGAGAGAAUGUGAAGACACUAGGUGAAAAGGUGUGACUGCCUCAUCUGCAUACAGCCAGCCCACAGAAACUGCCUGGUGCAGACACAGCAGACUCCUGUGCACUCAAGCUGCACAGCUUAGCCAGGUCACAGAGGUUGUCCCUGGGUCCUAGAGAAGCAGCACCCUGCUACCUGCAAAGGUGUAGGGCAGCUCAGUUCUGGCAGCCUUUUGAGUGUUCUGGUCAUCACUUCUCAGUCUCUUCCCAGGAGUCUGCCCUUGCGCUCUCGGUGGCUUCCCACUUUCCUCCUCACUCUCUGCAUUCGAGUCCAGGUCUGAAUGGCUGUCCGGGUCCCCCCUCUCCCCUUCGGCCUCCUCCUCGUCGCUCUCCUCUUCGCCUUCCUCCUCGUCGCUCCCUUGGAUGCCAGCUUUCCCGCUUAGUUCUUUGUGGACAUCCUCCUCAACGUUCAUCUUUCCAUCCUAGAAAGGGACCAGAGACCAGGAGCAUCACUGCGCAAAGCACAGAUUACACAACAGGUACAGUGUGUUCCUACCUGUCCGUCCCCUGAGCCUGGUCCUCCUUGCCCACCCCCAUCUAUGCUGUCAGACACAGGAGAUGAAGGUUCUAGAAUGAUUUGGAGAUGGUACAUCUCUCCAGGGCUCCUGUGUUGGAAUCUUCAUCCUCAGUGUGGUGCUGUAAGAGGUGAUGGAUCUGCAAAAGGAGGGGCCUAGGGCUGGGGCUGAGUGGUAGAGUGCCUGCCUAGCAUGCGCAAGGCCCUGGGUUCAAUCCUCAGCACCACAUAAAAAUAGAUAUUGUGCCCACCUGCAACUAAAAAAUAUAUUUAAAAAAAAAAGGUGGGGCUACUGGAAGUUCUUAGGUCAGGAAGGGCAGUGUCCUAGGAAAGGAUUAUGAUAGUUUUCCUGGGACAUCCUGGUGAGUUCUCAGGACAGUCUUUAAGAAACAUGUGAACCUGGCCGCUCUCCCUCUCCUGACUUCUUGCCUGGUGACAUGAUCACUUUCUCUUGUCGAUACUCAAACCACCAUGAUGCCUUCACUACAAUUGAGAAGAUGCUGUUGCCAAGCCUUUGAAUGUCUAUGACUGUGAGCUACGUAAACCUCUUUAUAAAACCACUGAACCUUAAGUAUUCCAUUAUAAUAGCAAAAAAAAAAAAGGACUAAUAUAGGUUCCUAGUGAGUCCUGCCAAGACUGGGUCUAUGUCUUGCCAGGGAGCUGUGCAGGAAGGUGUCCAGAAACCCCAUUUCUGCUAUUCCAGAUAACCUUGGAUUUUUUUUUGCCAGCACCAGUUUCCCGUCUUGGGCUCUUUUUUGUUCAAACAGAGCCUGUCUAUAUUUCUGCUUUCACCCUUGCUAUACUCUAAAAGGACAAGUGAGUAGAGACCUUUCUCAUUUUUGUGAAUAAAAAUAUACCCGUCUUAGAAACUUGAUUACUCAAAAAUAUUCAAGAGCCAUAACCCCGCAUUAGUUGCCUGUUUUGCCGAGAUCCUGCAGCUAACCAGUUAAACUGUACGAUGAGAAAGUGCUUAUUGUAACAACUGAGGAAAGUGGCAAAGACAGUCCACGUGGCUCAUCAUCAGGCACCUUCUGCAGAGGGAGGGAAGCAGAGCACACACAGGCUCCUUUAUGAAGUUCUGAUACCUGAAACCCACCAGCACUCAGAUGAAGAACUUUAGAGAAAUGGUUUCAGAUUUGCAUUCUCAUCUGUGAUGAACUCCUUAUGUUUUCAAAUUAAAAGGAAAGAAAAUGAAGCCAAAUAUCUUACUUUGUAAGAAAGCAGGCGCCUGUCAUCUUUGUCCAGCACAAAGCCGUCAUUUAAAUCAUCCGCUGACGUGUGGUUUGGAUUCUUCAUACUUUCAUCCUCCUCCUUUCCAAGCAUUCUUCGAAGUCUCUCAGCCUGACAGGAAGGAAAAGAGAAGCCACAUGGUGUGAGCAAACACAUGAAAAGAGAGUGUGUGUCCAGCUCCGGACCACAGGGCCUCCAGCCUGCCUUCUGCCAUCUUCACUCAAAAAAGAAAGAGAGCACUGAGUGUUAAGUGGGAGACUUCCAUAUUUAUCAGACUAUUCAAUCUUGGUAAAUACUUUCCAGCCACAAGGAAGGAAAACCUAUUCCUCUAAGAUCUGACCCUAAUGGAGCUCCACGGACUUUCUCUUUGCAACACAACCUGUGUUACAUUAAAAUGGCCAAGUGUAGAAUAGUAUGUCUCUAUCUUAUCUUUAUUUAGCUGUAGUUUGACAGAAUACCUUUUAUUUUAUUUACUUAUUUUUAAUGUGGUGUUGAGGAUUGAACCCAGGGCCUUGUACAUGCGAGGCAAGCACUCUAACGCUGAGCCACAAACCCUAUCUUAUGUUUGUUUAAAUGGAACAACAUUUAAAAAUUUUUUAAGCUAGGUGCUGUGUCCUAGCAGCUUGGGAGGCUGAAACAAGAGGAUCGCAAGUUCAAAGAUAGCCUCAGCAACAAGCAUGGCUCUAAGCAACUUAGUGAGGCCCUAUCUAAAUAAAAUACAAAAUAGGACUGGGGAUGUGACUCAGUAGUCAAGUGCUCCUGAAUUAAAUCCCCAGACCCUACCCAUCCAACCACCCAAAAUUUUAAUACACAGAAUAAAACCCAUAAAGCAAUACAGUCAACUACAUUGUUAGCAGAUAUUUUAACAAAGAGAAAUUGUAAGGAAUGUCCAUUAUUUUAUUUGGUGUGCUUGGGUAUUAAAGCAUUUUAUAUUUUUGCUUUAGUAAAUACAAACUUUAAACACA